Bombus huntii is the source of this 2275-nucleotide RNA transcript. It is a transcript of the gene named RNA-binding protein 1-like, with no coding region annotated. The transcript is spliced from 7 exons. NCBI's taxonomy places the organism in Eukaryota, Metazoa, Arthropoda, Insecta, Hymenoptera, Apidae. The record is from RefSeq and is a predicted model, not a curated record.
AAGUAGAAAGCAAUAUACACCAAUGCCAUCUUAGAAAGGAGGCCACGGAAGAAGAUUAACGCUACAUACGCCACCAUUUUGUGGACAUUUCUACUUGUGCAGUACGAACGAAGGGUUGUGUGUUACGAGACUACGAAAUCCACCGAACCAACAUAUACAUUCAAACGCAAUGUCACGUUAUCGUGAAUGGGAUCCUUCAUGUAAAGUUUAUGUUGGUAAUUUAGGAAACAGUGCUAGUAAACAUGAAAUUGAAAGUGCAUUCAGUAAAUAUGGUCCACUCAGAAAUGUGUGGGUUGCAAGAAAACCACCUGGUUUUGCAUUUGUGGAAUUUGAAGACCCACGAGAUGCAGAAGAUGCAGUUAGAGGGUUAGAUGGAACACGCUGUUGUGGGACCAGAGUGAGAGUAGAAAUGUCUUCAGGAAGAAGUAGACGUGGAGGUGGGAGGAGAUCAGGUCCAAGAUAUUCCAGGUCCAGAUCUUGCAGUCCUCGAAGGAGAUCACUGGGUCGUUAUCCAAGGUCCUGGUCAAGAAGCCCACGGAGAUCGCCAAUAAGCCGAUAUUCUAGAUUCUACCAGCGUCAGCUCCUAGCUCUGCUCGUCUCCCCGCCACUACUACUACUACUACUGCUACUACUACUACUACUACAGCCACCGUGAAAAAAAGUCUAGCAAUCAAAACUGAACAAAAAAAAAGCCUGCCUGCCCACUAACUUCCCAACCAGUCACCAUCAGUCACCACCAGUCACCGGUAGGAGCCAAGUCGUCCGUCAGUUGACAGUCCGAUGCUGUCCGUCAGUCCGUCUGUUCCCCUUCAAAAAGACUUCUUCGGGCUACCUCAACCUCUAGCGGCUAGGAGCAUCGUGAAUCCAUCGAACAGCCGACGCGAUAUGAACGAAUACUUCUGUCAAAAUCUCGGCGCGUCAGUCCGUCCGUCCGUCCCAACUUCUACUACUACUACUACUGCUACUACUACUACUACUACUACUCGUCAACCAUCACGUUAAACUUAGCCGACAACGCGUCCGCCACUUCUCUUCGACUGAGCAAAGCAAAAUGAUCACCACCUACACACCAUCCCACCACCACCCAACCAAGUACCACCACCACCAACCACCACUACAUGUUCACAGUUGUCUGGUCAAGAUCCCGUAGCCCUCGCAGGAGAUCACUGAGCCGUAGCCGUAGCCGAGACCGCCGUUCUCGUUCGGAUUCCCGUGACAGACGGUACUAAUAUUACCACAAAUUAAAAAAAACGAACCAGAAAAAAUAUAUGUAUAGAAAAGAAGCAGAGAUCGAAUCUUGCACUUGCAACAUAAAGAAAAUUGUCAUCGUAUGUGUUUUUCUACUGUUCAACGUGGAAGAAAGAUGAAAGAAACUCAUGAAUUUAUAGCAUUCCCAGUACUUCUUAACUAAACAAAGUUUUAGUUUUCGUUUUCAGAGUUAAUAUGCGAUAGUAAGCAUUCUGAAACAAUCGUGUUGCAAGAAUUCGCCUGUUCUAUUCUCUUUACAAUGAAAUUCCCGGUUUCCAGUGCAAAAAAGCGAUGUAGUGAAUUUACAUCGAGGAUCAGGUGUAUAUUUUCUAAAUGUUUUUUCUAUUUACUUACAGUUAGGUGCUAAAAGUGUUUGAGAGAACGGAUCGACUAAAUGUGCCGGAUGGAAGAUAAAGAAAACCGAUUUUAUAUGUACAUAAAAAAGAUAAUCGUUACCACGCGUACAUAUUCUGUCGAAGCAAUGAUAAUACGAUUAAAAGACAUUCAUAAGAGAUAUGGAAUAAUACACGUACAUAAUGUUUAGCAUUUAAGUUGUUAACACUUUGUACACGCAUAAAACCUUGCUUAUGUGCGUAAAACUUAGACACAUAUACCCAGGCGUGUGUAGUUGGUUUCACAUGCACGAUACAUUUUCACCGAUGCAUACACAUUAUGUAUAGAAAGGUAUUUUACACGCAACAAAAUUAUUUGUGAUGUAAGCUAUCGAGUACGAUAAAUCUCUUACGGAACGUACUCAUUGCUUCAAAGUGUACGGGUGAGACAAAAAGAAUUCGGUUGCAAUUAAGAACAAUUAUAACGAUAAGCAUAACAGUGAGACAUUUUUAUGUGAAGAAGUUCAUGAAGAAAUAGAAGGAACGGCCGUUUUACGUUGUAUUAAUUAUUUUGUACUCUUACGAAUUUAAGACUUUAAAAUAAAAAUGUAUGGUAUAAUUAUUUUGGCUUUCCUAUUGCAAAUAGCAGUUUGAUGUUCAUUAAAAGAAAAUAAUAAAGUAUCGAAGUAAUAGCA